GAUGAACGCUAGCGGCAGGCCUACACAUGCAAGUCGAGGGGCAGCACAGAAACAGCAAUGUUUUGGUGGCGACCGGCGGACGGGUGCGUAACGCGUAUGCAACCUACCUUUAACAGGGGGAUAACGGAGAGAAAUUUCCACUAAUACCCCAUAACAUCGAUCAAGGCAUCUUGAUUGGUUGAAAACUCCGGUGGGUAAAGAUGGGCAUGCGUUGUAUUAGGUAGUUGGUGAGGUAAUGGCUCACCAAGCCUACGAUACAUAGGGGGACUGAGAGGUUAGCCCCCCACACUGGUACUGAGACACGGACCAGACUCCUACGGGAGGCAGCAGUGAGGAAUAUUGGUCAAUGGGGGCAACCCUGAACCAGCCAUGCCGCGUGCAGGAAGACGGCUCUAUGAGUUGUAAACUGCUUUUAAACAGGGAUAAAGCACAGUAUGUAUACUGUGUUGAAGGUACUGUAAGAAUAAGGAUCGGCUAACUCCGUGCCAGCAGCCGCAGUAA
This 501-nucleotide ribosomal RNA is filed under the name uncultured bacterium. Its description in RNAcentral is "partial 16S ribosomal RNA". It matches the Rfam family "Bacterial small subunit ribosomal RNA", at positions 28 to 523 of the family's 1533-position model. The record is from RNAcentral.